CAGUUGCGGCUGCCUAACACAUGCAAGUCGACGGUAACGACGGAAGCUUGCUUCCGGGCGACGAGUGGCGGACGGGUGAGUAACACUUAGGAAUCUGCCCAGUAGUGGGGGACAACAUUCGGAAACGGAUGCUAAUACCGCAUACGCACUACGGUGGAAAGUGGGGGACCUUCGGGCCUCACGCUAUUGGAUGAGCCUAAGUCGGAUUAGCUUGUUGGUGAGGUAAAGGCUCACCAAGGCGACGGUCCGUAGCUGGUCUGAGAGGACGAUCAGCCACACUGGGACUGAGACACGGCCCAGACUCCUACGGGAGGCAGCAGUGGGGAAUAUUGGACAAUGGGCGCAAGCCUGAUCCAGCAAUGCCGCGUGUGUGAAGAAGGCCUGCGGGUUGUAAAGCACUUUCAGUAGAGAAGAAAAGCCUAGGGUUAAUACCCCUGAGUCUUGACGUAACCUACAGAAGAAGCACCGGCUAACUCCGUGCCAGCAGCCGCGGUAAUACGGAGGGUGCGAGCGUUAAUCGGAAUUACUGGGCGUAAAGCGCGCGUAGGCGGUUUUGUAAGUCGGAUGUGAAAGCCCCGGGCUUAACCUGGGAAUUGCAUUCGAUACUGCAUAACUAGAGUACGGUAGAGGGAAGUGGAAUUCCGGGUGUAGCGGUGAAAUGCGUAGAUAUCCGGAGGAACACCAGUGGCGAAGGCGACUUCCUGGGCCAGUACUGACGCUGAGGUGCGAAAGCGUGGGGAGCAAACAGGAUUAGAUACUCUGGUAGUCCACGCCGUAAACGAUGAGAACUAGAUGUCGGGAGGAUCUGCCUUUCGGUGUCGCAGCUAACGCGUUAAGUUCUCGCUGGGAGUACGCGGCACGGUAAACUCAAGGAUGACGGGACUCGCACAGCGUGGAGCAUGUGUUAUCGAUGCACGCGAGACUACUGCCCUGACAUGACAGACCUCUAGAGAUAGAGGGGUGCUCGCUGCAAACAGUGCUGCAUGCUGUCGUCAGCUCUGUCUGAAUGUGGUAAGUUCCGCACGAGCCACCUUGUUCUUAGUGCAGCACUCGUGGAACUCUAGGAACUGCGGUGAAUCGAGAGUGGACACUCAAGUCUCAUGGCCUUAGCAGUAACGUUCUAAUUGCGAUACAAGGCUCACGAUAAGGUGUGGACA
RNAcentral lists this ribosomal RNA (1157 nucleotides) under uncultured bacterium. Its description in RNAcentral is "bacterial SSU rRNA". It matches the Rfam family "Bacterial small subunit ribosomal RNA", at positions 34 to 1252 of the family's 1533-position model. The record is from RNAcentral.